Anguilla rostrata (American eel) is the source of this 1254-nucleotide long non-coding RNA. RefSeq lists it as uncharacterized. The transcript is spliced from 3 exons. NCBI's taxonomy places the organism in Eukaryota, Metazoa, Chordata, Actinopteri, Anguilliformes, Anguillidae. The record is from RefSeq and is a predicted model, not a curated record.
GUUUGACUGGAGCCUCUUAAGACCUGGCUCAUCUCAGAUGUUUAAGCACUUCAAUGCAGGUUUAGAGAGGGUGCGACUCUGGCUGUGAAGUCGAGGCUCGGGCUUACUGCCGAACGGAGGAGCGCUGUCUUUCGCCCGCUUGCAUAACCCAAUCAAAAGACCUGGAUUCUAUUUGUUUUGUUUCAAGGGAGCAUGACAAAGGCCCCAAGGUCUUCUUCAAGAUGGUUCUGAAGCGGAGAGAAAGAAAGGGGGACCGAGCUUUCAAGUGUCUGUCCUUGGGAGGACCUUUACUGUCUCGCCAGAUUGAAAGAAAGGAUCAUACUUAAAAGGGGAAGAACUCAUUUCAGGUUUUCAUUCGGCCUCCUCUGGUUUUUAGUCUAGCCCCCAUCCCCCCCCAAAAAAGCUUCCUUCACAUGCUCAGAUGGACAAGAAGUCUGUGGAAGUCAAUCCUGGGAUGAGGACCAGAUUCCCAAAUUAUUGCUGAUCGAUUGCGUAGCACGGGGACGAGCCGAAUCACCCAGGGCGGCGUCUGCUCCAGCGUCGCGUUAAUAGCGUUGGGCGGCUCGUGAUUUAUUCAGCGGCUGGCGUUUGAAUCGGUGUGCUCAGGUUAAGUUCACCUGGCAGUCCAGUGCGCUCAGCGCUCGGCACGGAGCCCGCCAAUGGAGCACGCUCGCGCACCCAUUAGCGUGGAUGAUGAAGUUAUAAUGCCUCGGACUUGGGAAAGGAAAUUUACGACGCCGCUUUCAUUAAUUACUGCCGCACGGGCACGGCUGCUGGCCGUCCCUCCAGCAGGCCGCACAGGAAGCAUAGCCUUGCCUGCUGGGAUAUUGAGUUUUAUAGCCGCGCGAACGCUAAGGAAAACUAACCGUAAAUUUGACUCCUCUUUAAGAGUCACCGCUCAGAACGCUAUCACGCUGUAGCCGUUUUAAUCUGGAUCGUUUAUCGUAAAUAUCUCGCCUUGAUUACGCACCCCUUUUAAGUCUUUUUUUUUUUUGGCUUGUUUUGGUUUUUUUGUGCAGUUUUGUUAUUGCAGGUGGGUAAAUGCUAAUUUUGCUUUGUUCUAGGUGGUUAUCGGAUACCGCCGUGUGUUUGUCCCUUUCCUCUUCCUGUAUUCACAGGACUUACUGUCGUGGCACCUAAACCUUUGUGCAGGGUAUCUUUCUGUUAUUUCCGAGAAAGCCCCCCCCCCACCCUCCCCCCUCAUACCCCCACACCCCCCCUCCCCCCACCCCUCCCGCUGAAAGUGCCCCGAGU